Molecule: ribosomal RNA, 421 nt
Filed under: uncultured bacterium
Lineage: Bacteria
Description: partial 16S ribosomal RNA
Rfam family: Bacterial small subunit ribosomal RNA
Source: RNAcentral
AAUAUUAGACAAUGGGCGAAAGCCUGAUCCAGCCAUGCCGCGUGUGUGAAGAAGGUCUUCGGAUUGUAAAGCACUUUAAGUUGGGAGGAAGGGCAGUAAGUUAAUACCUUGCUGUUUUGACGUUACCGACAGAAUAAGCACCGGCUAACUUCGUGCCAGCAGCCGCGGUAAUACGAAGGGUGCAAGCGUUAAUCGGAAUUACUGGGCGUAAAGCGUGCGCAGGCGGUUCGGCAAGAAGGAUGUGAAAUCCCGGGGCUUAACCUCGGAACUGCAUUCUUAACUGCCGGGCUAGAGUAUGGUAGAGGGUAGUGGAAUUUCCUGUGUAGCGGUGAAAUGCGUAGAUAUAGGAAGGAACACCAGUGGCGAAGGCGACUACCUGGACUGAUACUGACACUGAGGUGCGAAAGCGUGGGGAGCAAAC